This is a long non-coding RNA of Carassius auratus (goldfish), 831 nucleotides long. RefSeq lists it as uncharacterized. The transcript has 3 exons. Lineage: Eukaryota; Metazoa; Chordata; Actinopteri; Cypriniformes; Cyprinidae. The record is from RefSeq and is a predicted model, not a curated record.
AAAAAAAAAGAGAGAAAGAGCAAGAGAGAGAGAGAGAGAGAGAGAGAGAAGCGCAGCAGCAAACCAGAGGAUCGAGCGAUCAUGCAGCACAUCCCACAGCUUAUGUCACUAGAACUCAGCACUCACACAUCUGGACAAAAAGGACUCAUACGUCAGAAUGCUCUUCAUAAAUUUCAGUUCAGCAUUCAACGCAUUCAUCCCUCAACAGCAAUGGCAGCAACAGAUCCAGCACCAUCACACUGAACACUGGGGUCCCCCAAGGAUGUGUGCUUAGCCCCCUCCUCUUCACUCUGCACACCCUCACACAACUCCAACCUCUUCAUUAAGUUUGCGGAUUACCAGGGGCAGUUCUAGAGGCGGGGCCACAGGGGCCCUGGUCCCUGCUGAAAUCUGAUUGGCCCCUGAUUGGCCCCCGUUCCAUCAAUCGUUGACGAGAAGAGCAACCGGAGAAUUCUUCACAACGAUCACAGAUGCAAUUCCACCCCCAAACAAUUGCCGGCACUCGGGGCAGUAAUGUGUCGAUGCAACUUGGGAGAAGAAGCAGAGGUCUUGGCUUUAUAUUAUAUUUGCCUGAAACUUUGGCUGUGAAUGGCUUUGGCUUGAGCGAUACCAGAACAUUCUCAGACGUUAUGCCAGUAGGGGGGAGAAAGAAUCUAUCUAUCUAUCCAACUUGAAGACAAUUCUUGAAAAAUCCUAGAACCGCCACUGCGGAGGACACGACUGUGGUGGGUCGUCUCAUUAGCAACAAAGAUGAGACAAACUACAGGAGCGAGGUGAGCCGCCUGUCCGGGUGGUGCAGUGACAACAAUCUCUCUCUGAACAUUGAGAAGA